Oncorhynchus tshawytscha (Chinook salmon) is the source of this 345-nucleotide long non-coding RNA. RefSeq lists it as uncharacterized. The record is from RefSeq and is a predicted model, not a curated record. The transcript is spliced from 2 exons. Lineage: Eukaryota; Metazoa; Chordata; Actinopteri; Salmoniformes; Salmonidae.
UGGAUCACUGAAUUUCCUUCCACAAAAUGUCAAUCAAGAAGUUUGCUUUCAUGUCUUUACAAUUUGAUAACACUAAGUUCUUAAACCUGCAUAGUAAUCCUGUAAUUACCAGAAUCACUCACUAUUAUGCAAUCCUUAUUGCUACAUUACAGCAUGUGUCAAUGUUACUAGAAGAGUAGUAACUGUUAUUAUACAGGUAUAAGAGCAGUUACUAGAAGAGUAGUAACUUAUUACAGGUAUAAGAGCAACUCGAUAUCACCUAAAGGGUUACCUCAAUUUGGUAAAAAAAUUAAGUACAGUUGAUGUAUAAAUAUAAUACAUGUAUUUAAUAGAAGGUAUUUCGAC